This 567-nucleotide ribosomal RNA is filed under the name uncultured bacterium. RNAcentral's name for it is "bacterial SSU rRNA". It matches the Rfam family "Bacterial small subunit ribosomal RNA", at positions 338 to 916 of the family's 1533-position model. The record is from RNAcentral.
CCUACGGGAGGCAGCAGUGGGGAAUAUUGGGCAAUGGAGGAAACUCUGACCCAGCGACGCCGCGUGCGGGAUGAAGGCCUUCGGGUUGUAAACCGCUUUCAGUAGGGAAGAAGCGAAAGUGACGGUACCUACAAAAGAAGCACCGGCUAACUAUGUGCCAGCAGCCGCGGUAAUACAUAGGGUGCAAGCGUUGUCCGGAAUUAUUGGGCGUAAAGAGCUCGUAGGUCGUUUGUUACGUCGGAUGUGAAAACCUGAGGCUCAACCUCAGGCCUGCAUUCGAUACGGGCAAACUAGAGUUUGGUAGGGGAGACUGGAAUUCCUGGUGUAGCGGUGGAAUGCGCAGAUAUCAGGAGGAACACCAAUGGCGAAGGCAGGUCUCUGGGCCAAUACUGACACUGAGGGGCGAAAGUCUGGGGAGCGAACAGGAUUAGAUACCCUGGUAGUCCAGACCGUAAACGGUGGGCACUAGUUGUGGGAACCUUCCACGGUUUCUGCGACGCAGCUAACGCAUUAAGUGCCCCGCCUGGGGAGUACGAUCGCAAGNUUAAAACUCAAAGGAAUUGACGG